AUGGCUUCCGGUAAGACGAUUAGGGUUCCAGCGUGCUGGACUGCCAUCUCUGUCAAAAAAGGUUCCUCAAAGAUAGUGGUUGUGGGUGGAAGACGAUGACACAAGCCUUGGUAAUUUCAGAUCUCUAUUGACCCUCACCCUAAGUACUUUGCGUUUUAGUUGAUUUAUAUUUUGAUUAUUUGAUGAUUAUUGUUAACAUAUUACGAAUUUUAGUUGAUUUAUUUAUGUUUUUUUGGAAGAAUCAAAUCCAUGUUUACUCGACCUCCAUAUUUUGAGGGUAAAAGUGAAGAUGACUUCUUUGACAGGACUUA
This 311-nucleotide long non-coding RNA is filed under the name Helianthus annuus (common sunflower). RNAcentral describes it as "sRNA HanXRQr2_Chr02g0062671". Lineage: Eukaryota; Viridiplantae; Streptophyta; Magnoliopsida; Asterales; Asteraceae. The record is from RNAcentral.